AGCUUAGAUCAAUAGAACAGAGCAUGCCAUGCAUGCAAUAUUCAGACUAUAGUUGGACGUUUGUUUUAUCGCCUAUAAGUACCAUGCGAACUAAUUAAUGUCCGCCACCAAAACCUCCACCGCCUCCGGCUCCUCCGCCAAAUCCACCUCCUGCUCCGCCACCGGCACCACCACCAAACCCUCCUCCGGAGCCUCCACCUAGACCACCCCCACCUCCAGAUCCACCUCCAAAACCUCCACCGGCGCCACCUCCAGAUCCACCUCCAAAUCCACCUCCAGAUCCACCUCCAAAUCCUCCACCAGAACCUCCACCAAACCCUCCACCCUUUCCGCCUCCAAAUCCUCCUCCGCUCCCACCACCGGCACCACCCCCAACUCCUCCGCCUGCACCACCUCCGGCACCUCCACCAAACCCUCCUCCCUUGCCACCUCCUAGCCCUCCACCGGAACCUCCCCCUAGCCCUCCACCGGAACCUCCUCCUAGGCCUCCACCGGAACCUCCCCCUAGCCCUCCACCGGAACCUCCUCCUAGGCCUCCACCGGAACCACCUCCUAGGCCUCCACCGGAACCUCCCCCAAGUCCACCACCAGCUCCGCCUCCUAGGCCGCCACCGGAACCACCUCCCAGGCCUCCACCGGAACCUCCCCCUAGCCCUCCACCAGCACCUCCCCCAAGUCCACCGCCAGCUCCGCCACCAAGUCCACCGCCACCACCAAGCCCUCCGCCUCCACCGAGCCCACCACCGCCAAAUGUGUCUUUCUCAAGCUUCCGGCCAUCGGCAAUCUGCACAACAAACAACCCCAACAACAAGAUCACAGCAAACACACCACCAUUUCUGAAAUUCUUCCCCAUUGUAAUUUUCUGAUCUAUAAAAUUUAAGAUGAAAUAUUAAUGGUGUGUUAUUCUCCGAUAAAAGCUUCGAUUCUAUUUAUAGAAAUGGAGUAGGAGAUGGUUCAUAAAUGCAUG
RNAcentral lists this long non-coding RNA (967 nucleotides) under Salvia miltiorrhiza (redroot sage). RNAcentral describes it as "long non-coding RNA (SMIL_LNC006939)". The record is from RNAcentral. Lineage: Eukaryota; Viridiplantae; Streptophyta; Magnoliopsida; Lamiales; Lamiaceae.